CGGAUUGUAGUCUGCAACCCGACUACAUGAAGCUGGAAUCGCUAGUAAUCGCGAAUCAGAAUGUCGCGGUGAAUACGUUCCCGGGUCUUGUACACACCGCCCGUCACACCAUGGGAGUCGGAAAUGCCCGAAGUCAGUGAACCUAACCGAAAGGGAGGAGCUGCCGAAGGUGGAGCCGGUAACUGGGGUGGAAGUCGUAACAAGGUAUC
RNAcentral lists this ribosomal RNA (209 nucleotides) under uncultured bacterium. RNAcentral describes it as "partial 16S ribosomal RNA". It matches the Rfam family "Bacterial small subunit ribosomal RNA", at positions 1294 to 1500 of the family's 1533-position model. The record is from RNAcentral.